UUAAUCGGAAUUACUGGGCGUAAAGCGCACGCAGGCGGUUUGUUAGGUCAGAUGUGAAAUCCCCGGGCUCAACCUGGGAACUGCAUCUGAUACUGGCAAGCUUGAGUCUCGUAGAGGGGGGUAGAAUUCCAGGUGUAGCGGUGAAAUGCGUAGAGAUCUGGAGGAAUACCGGUGGCGAAGGCGGCCCCCUGGACGAAGACUGACGCUCAGGUGCGAAAGCGUGGGGAGCAAACAGGAUUAGAUACCCUGGUAGUCCACGCCGUAAACGAUGUCGACUUGGAGGUUGUGCCCUUGAGGCGUGGCUUCCGGAGCUAACGCGUUAAGUCGACCGCCUGGGGAGUACGGCCGCAAGGUUAAAACUCAAAUGAAUUGACGGGGGCCCGCACAAGCGGUGGAGCAUGUGGUUUAAUUCGAUGCAACGCGAAGAACCUUACCUGGUCUUGACAUCCACGGAAGUUUUCAGAGAUGAGAAUGUGCCUUCGGGAACCGUGAGACAGGUGCUGCAUGGCUGUCGUCAGCUCGUGUUGUGAAAUGUUGGGUUAAGUCCCGCAACGAGCGCAACCCUUAUCCUUUGUUGCCAGCGGU
RNAcentral lists this ribosomal RNA (585 nucleotides) under uncultured bacterium. RNAcentral describes it as "bacterial SSU rRNA". It matches the Rfam family "Bacterial small subunit ribosomal RNA", at positions 541 to 1125 of the family's 1533-position model. The record is from RNAcentral.